Molecule: ribosomal RNA, 584 nt
Filed under: Hylemonella sp.
Lineage: Bacteria; Pseudomonadati; Pseudomonadota; Betaproteobacteria; Burkholderiales; Comamonadaceae
Description: bacterial SSU rRNA
Rfam family: Bacterial small subunit ribosomal RNA
Source: RNAcentral
UAGCUCGGCGAAAGCCGGAUUAAUACCGCAUAAGCUCUGAGGAGGAAAGCGGGGGACCGUAAGGCCUCGCGCGUUUGGAGCGGCCGAUGGCAGAUUAGGUAGUUGGUGGGGUAAAGGCUUACCAAGCCUACGAUCUGUAGCUGGUCUGAGAGGACGACCAGCCACACUGGGACUGAGACACGGCCCAGACUCCUACGGGAGGCAGCAGUGGGGAAUUUUGGACAAUGGGCGAAAGCCUGAUCCAGCAAUGCCGCGUGCAGGAUGAAGGCCUUCGGGUUGUAAACUGCUUUUGUACGGAACGAAAAGGCGCCUACUAAUACUGGGUGUUGAUGACGGUACCGUAAGAAUAAGCACCGGCUAACUACGUGCCAGCAGCCGCGGUAAUACGUAGGGUGCAAGCGUUAAUCGGAAUUACUGGGCGUAAAGCGUGCGCAGGCGGUGUUGUAAGACAGUUGUGAAAUCCCCGGGCUCAACCUGGGAACUGCAUCUGUGACUGCAAUGCUGGAGUGCGGCAGAGGGGGAUGGAAUUCCGCGUGUAGCAGUGAAAUGCGUAGAUAUGCGGAGGAACACCGAUGGCGAAGGCA